AUGAAGAACGUAGCGAAAUGCGAUAAGUAAUGCGAAUUGCAGAAUUCAGUGAGUCAUCGAAUCUUUGAACGCACAUUGCGCCCUGUGGUAUUCCGCAGGGCAUGCCUGUUCGAGCGUCAUUUCAACCCUCAAGCUCUGCUUGGUGUUGGGCCCCGCCCGCUCGCGGCCGGCCCUAAAGACAGUGGCGGCAGCGCCUGGCUCCAAGCGUAGUACAGCUCUCGCUCUGGGGCUAGGCGGUAGCCUGCCAGAACCCCCCUUCUAUGGUUGACCUCGGAUCAGGUAGGGAUACCCGCUGAACUUAAGCAUAUCAAUAAGCGGAGGA
Molecule: unclassified non-coding RNA, 322 nt
Filed under: soil metagenome
Description: partial contains 5.8S ribosomal RNA, internal transcribed spacer 2, and large subunit ribosomal RNA
Rfam family: 5.8S ribosomal RNA (bases 1-119)
Source: RNAcentral